AAGCUCGUAGUUGAAUUUCGGGAUUAGUACGUCGGUCGUGCCUUAGGUACGUACUGGUGUUACUGGUUCCUACCUUCUGACGAACCAUCAUGUCAUUAAUUUGGUGUGGUGGGGAAUCAGGACUGUUACUUUGAAAAAAAUUGAGUGUUUAAAGCAGGCUCGCGCUUGAAUACAUUAGCAUGGAAUAAUGAAAUAGGACGCUGAUCCUAUUUUGUUGGUUUCUAGGAUUGACGUAAUGAUUAAUAGGGAUAGGUUGGG
This 258-nucleotide ribosomal RNA is filed under the name uncultured Glomus. RNAcentral describes it as "partial 18S ribosomal RNA". It matches the Rfam family "Eukaryotic small subunit ribosomal RNA", at positions 624 to 887 of the family's 1831-position model. Lineage: Eukaryota; Fungi; Glomeromycota; Glomeromycetes; Glomerales; Glomeraceae. The record is from RNAcentral.